UACGUAGGGGGCAAGCGUUAUCCGGAUCUACUGGGUGUAAAGGGAGCGUAGACGGCAGCGCAAGUCUGGAGUGAAAUGCCGGGGCCCAACCCCGGAACUGCUUUGGAAACUGUGCAGCUCGAGUGCAGGAGAGGUAAGCGGAAUUCCUAGUGUAGCGGUGAAAUGCGUAGAUAUUAGGAGGAACACCAGUGGCGAAGGCGGCUUACUGGACUGUAACUGACGUUGAGGCUCGAAAGCGUGGGGAGCAAACAGG
This 253-nucleotide ribosomal RNA is filed under the name uncultured bacterium. Its description in RNAcentral is "partial 16S ribosomal RNA". It matches the Rfam family "Bacterial small subunit ribosomal RNA", at positions 524 to 776 of the family's 1533-position model. The record is from RNAcentral.